GGGUGCAGCAGGGACAGAGGUAUUGGGGUGCAAGCCUUUCCCUCCUUACCCUCCUGCAUCACUUGGUGUGAGGGUGAGUCCAUGGUGGCUCAGCUCUCCCACACCACAUCUUCAGGCCUGUGGUGCGGGGGGGGUGGGUCAUCCCCGAUGCUGUUCCCCAUUGGCCCCAGUUUUGCUACUUGUAGCUAAAUUUGGCAUUUCUUACACUGUCACUGAGCAAUCUCAGCCUCCUCUGGGUCAGUGCUGAGGUACCGAUGAGCUCUCGCUCCCACUGAGCACCAGCACGUCCUCCCCGUGCAGGCAGCCUGGGUCACAGCUUCUGAGGAAUUUUGGCCCCACCACCCCCACCCUGUUCCCUCUGGGUCCCCUCUCUGGCCCAUGAGCCCUCAGGCAGCCCUGUCUCCUCUGUGGGUGCUGGGGCUGCAGCUCCUGUGGGGCCUUCUGGCUUGUGGCCCUGUCAGGGCAGCCUCUGAGGACACUCGGGUCUCUCUCUGGGUAACCACUGAGGUGUCUGCAGUCCCUUCUGGUGGAGGCUGCUGCAGGUUUUGGGGUACCCAGGCACAUAACCCCCUCCCCCCAUCUGGUCUGGCACUAUAGUGCAGGGAGAUAAAGAUGAGGUUCUGCAGCACUGUGGGAAAGUGAGGGUAGAGGAGGUGGGGGGGCUGUAAACAUGCUCCAGGGACUCGCACGGGGGGCGCUGGAAAACAAUCCCUCGCAAUGACUGUUGUUUAGUCUCGUGGAGCAGCACAACCUGCACUGAGAAAACGUGGGGCUGUGAUGGCUCUUUGCCCGCACUGCACCCCCCCACCUUUGGGACAUGGCAGCAGGAGGGGCUUGGUUGAGAGACAGAGUGCAAUGGGGUGUGGGAGAUGUCUGUCUGUCUGUCCGUGUGUGUCUUCCUGCAGGCACGGGCAGCUGGGACACGGCACCCUGGAGUCUGAGCCACAGCCACGGCUGGUGGAGGCCUUGGCCGGUGUCCCCAUGCAGGCGGUGGCAGCCGGAGGGUGGCAUUCGGCCAGUGUCAGCGAGGCAGGAGACCUCUACGUGUGGGGCUGGAAUGAGUCAGGGCAGCUGGCCCUGCCCUCCAAAGCGCUGGCAGAGGAGCAGGCACAGGCGGAGGACACGGGGGGUGCAGGGGACGCGGAGCUGAGGUCCCCCCAGGAGCAGCCGGUGGCCGAGGACGCCGCCUUCAUUUCCAUCCAGGCGUUCCCGGCGCUGCUGGACCUGCCGCAGGAGCUGGAGGUCACCCAGGUCAGCUGCGGGUCCCGGCACACGGCCGUCAUCACACGAGGCGGGGAGCUCUUCACCUGGGGCUGGGGCGCUGCGUGACAGACCUGGGCUUACAACCCGAGCGGGGAACAGCACGGAGCCCCCUCACCGCCAGGGACAAUGCCCCGGGGAUGGUCUGUGGCAUGGCGAAGCAGCAGGUGGUAGAGCUGCCACUGCUCCUUCACGUACUCCAUGAACUGCUGCCCCUUCACCAGGAAAGGCUUUUCCUGCUCCUGCUCAAAGGCCUGGAUUUUGUUGUCCAGCUCCUCCUGCAGCUGAGGACGACACAGGGGUAGUUGUGAGAGGCUGCCCCUGGGCAGCUCCCCACCCAGAGAUGGCCCUUGCUGGCUCCAAGGGCUGCACUUCUCGGACAACAUUCUUAGGCCUGUCUGGGACUACAGAAAGAGUAGUGCUGGAGCCCCUCUGCUGCGAGGACAGGAGAGAGCUGGGGGGGUCCAGCCUGGAGAAGAGAAGGCUCCGGGGAGAUCUUAUAACGGCCUUCCAGUCCCUCAAGGGGCUCCAGGAAAGCUGGGG
This is an RNA transcript of Calidris pugnax (ruff), 1803 nucleotides long. It is a transcript of the gene named RCC1 domain containing 1, with no coding region annotated. The record is from RefSeq and is a predicted model, not a curated record. The transcript is spliced from 6 exons. NCBI's taxonomy places the organism in Eukaryota, Metazoa, Chordata, Aves, Charadriiformes, Scolopacidae.